UACGGGGGGGGCAAGCGUUGUUCGGAAUUACUGGGCGUAAAGGGCUCGUAGGCGGCCAACUAAGUCAGACGUGAAAUCCCUCGGCUUAACCGGGGAACUGCGUCUGAUACUGGAUGGCUUGAGUUCGGGAGAGGGAUGCAGAAUUCCAGGUGUAGCGGUGAAAUGCGUAGAUAUCUGGAGGAACACCGGUGGCGAAGGCGGCAUCCUGGACCGAUACUGACGCUGAGGAGCGAAAGCCAGGGGAGCAAACGGG
RNAcentral lists this ribosomal RNA (253 nucleotides) under uncultured bacterium. Its description in RNAcentral is "partial 16S ribosomal RNA". It matches the Rfam family "Bacterial small subunit ribosomal RNA", at positions 524 to 776 of the family's 1533-position model. The record is from RNAcentral.